GUGAGGUGGCCAGGGUCAGAGAGGCAGGGUGAGGUGGCCAGGAUCAGAGAGGCAGGGUGAGGUGGCCAGGAUCAGAGAGGCAGGGUGAGGUGGCCAGGGUCAGAGAGGCAGGGUGAGGUGGCCAGGAUCAGAGAGGCAGGGUGAGGUGGCCAGGGUCAGAGAGGCAGGGUGAGGUGGCCAGGAUCAGAGAGGCAGGGUGAGGUGGCCAGGGUCAGAGAGGCAGGGUGAGGUGGCCAGGGUCAGAGAGGCAGGGUGAGGUGGCCAGGGUCAGAGAGGCAGGGUGAGGUGGCCAGGAUCAGAGAGGCAGGGUGAGGUGGCCAGGGUCAGAGAGGCAGGGUGAGGUGGCCAGGAUCAGAGAGGCAGGGUGAGGUGGCCAGGGUCAGAGAGGCAGGGUGAGGUGGCCAGGAUCAGAGAGGCAGGGUGAGGUGGCCAGGGUCAGAGAGGCAGGGUGAGGUGGCCAGGAUCAGAGAGGCAGGGUGAGGUGGCCAGGGUCAGAGAGGCAGGGUGAGGUGGCCAGGGUCAGAGAGGCAGGGUGAGAAGGCCAGGGUCAGAGAGGCAGGGUGAGGUGGCCAGGGUCAGAGAGGCAGGGUGAGGUGGCCAGGGUCAGAGAGGCAGGUUGAGGUGGCCAGGGUCAGAGUAGUGCAGAAGAUGCCGCAUGCUGAAGCAGUGAAGAAAGUAGAGGGAGGAUCAAGGGUAAGAGAUUCUGAGACGAACCCUGUGAAUAUUAGAUCUCUGCUAGAACAGAGGGAUAAGCCAAUGAGUGAUACGUUUCAGUAAGGUUAGCUUCUUAGCAAUGGUUAUCAACUGUACUGAAGAGAUGGAACGUUAGUCACAGAAAAUAGAUGUGGUGGCAGCUGCAGAGAAGUACUUGGGGGUACAAGAUUUGACUUCAGAAGAGUUACAGGGUGUGUUGAGUGGUAGUGUCCUGUCAUCUCAGGUCAGUGGCCUGGGGUAGGACGAGAUCGGUUUAAAGUAGUUUAAUAAGGUAUAAAAAUGUAAAAAAUAUAUUAGGUGAACAAUCGGUAAGUAAAGAAAUAAAACAGUAAAAAGACAGGCUAUAUACAGUAGCGAGGCUAUAAAAGUAGUGAGGCUACAUACAGACACCGGUUAACAACCACAAUAACAACAAACAUGUGACACCCUUGUAGGUUACAACGGUAUGUCUUUUUAUGGGGCACGUCGUAAAAAUUACAUUCAAAAGGUUGUUUUAUUGAGUUAAGAAUUUAACCGAUCCCAUCCCCAAUUAAUACACAGAGAGAACAUUUACACAUCUCUGCCUUUAACACAACGUCAGGACCAGAAAUGUUGGACAAGAACAUGUCAUCCAUCAUGGAAUAAAAAUGAAUUCAUGUAAGGCGAUUACUUGAGAGGUUGUGUACUCUGCUCAUUUAGUCUGACAUAUUUUUUGGAGUUUCCCAAGUACAGCCAUUACAUUUACUCCAUUUAUACCAUUUCAAGGUCAGAUGUAUGUUUUAGGGCUCCAGAGUGGCGCAGCGGUCAGACCCUGGUUUUAUUCCAGGCUGUAUCACAACCCACCAUGAUUGGGAGUCCCAUAGGGCGGCGCACAAUUGGCCCAGCGUUGUCCGGGUUUGGGUUUGGCCGGGGUAGGCAGUCAUUGUAAAUAAGAAUUGCUUCUUAAACUGACUUGCCUAG
Molecule: long non-coding RNA, 1653 nt
Organism: Oncorhynchus keta (chum salmon)
Lineage: Eukaryota; Metazoa; Chordata; Actinopteri; Salmoniformes; Salmonidae
Exons: 4
Source: RefSeq, a predicted model, not a curated record